This 1017-nucleotide long non-coding RNA is filed under the name Anser brachyrhynchus (Pink-footed goose). RNAcentral describes it as "lncRNA (ENSABRG00000018765.1)". Lineage: Eukaryota; Metazoa; Chordata; Aves; Anseriformes; Anatidae. The record is from RNAcentral.
GUAUCCAUGAGGUCUGGUUACUUGCUUAUCUUUGAGUGCUUACAGACCAAAAUGAAAGGAUAUUUUUGCUGUAGCUCAUCCCUACAUCACUUAAAUCCAGCAUAUGUGAAGGAAGAGGUUUGCAAGUCUCUCUUGCUACCCCAUGGUGGUAUUUUUGGUGGUGGUGGUGAGAACUAAACCAUCAGCCUGGGCACAGAGACCAGGGCACAGCCCAUGCUGACAGCCCAUAGCCAGCGCCUCCCCCCAGAAGGAGGGCAGCCCACCUUGUGCAUCAGCUCAGUGCACGAAGGACUUGGAAAGGAGGAGGGAAAAAAAAAAAACACCAACAUGUGAGCACAAGGGCUUGGACGUUACCGGGGAGAAAAAAAAGCCACAGCGGCAAUAAAAUUAAUUUCCUUCUCUAAUAUAUACAAGACUUUCUCUAGGAGAAUUAUGACCCAAGCUGAUCAAAGUCUGUAAGUGGUACUUAUGCUAUCAGUUUCACCCCCUUAAUGCCCUCCUGUCAAAACAAAAUCCCUUCGAAAGGCUUUGAGGAAAAUCACAUGAGCAUAAUGGCUUUCAAAAAAAUGGCCCUAAGUACUCGGUAACAUAUACAGAGAAGACUAUUAGAUCGGCUGGUGUAAUUGUACUUAUAUUCAAAUGUAAACAUUCUUAUAUGAGCAAGUUACUGCUUACCCACAGAGCGGAGCACAGGCGGAUCAGGCUGAAAAUGCUUCAGUUAUCAAGGGAAAGGGGAGGGGUGGGCAGCGGUGAGAACUUUGCCCUAAGGCAGGAUGGUGAUUUUGGGCAGAAUUAGAUAAAAGGAGAAGGGAAGGAUGGGGCUUAUUAAAGAGCCAUUUGGAGAUGCACACAGAGAGGGUGAAAUUCAGGUGGGGUGCAAUUUGCAGUGUCGUGCUGCUCGCAGGACCACGCACCCUCUUUGCCAUAUGGCUUUUCUCCCUGGGGACACCAGCUCAGUCUACCCCAAGGUAAGACCAGGUCGACUAGGCAAGGGCUUUUUUUUUUUUUUUUCCUCCU